GUGGGGAAUAUUGGGCAAUGGGCGCAAGCCUGACCCAGCAACGCCACGUGAAGGAAGAAGGCUUUCGGGUUGUAAACUUCUUUUACCAGGGACGAAACAAAUGACGGUACCUGGUGAAUAAGCCACGGCUAACUACGUGCCAGCAGCCGCGGUAAUACGUAGGUGGCGAGCGUUAUCCGGAUUUAUUGGGUGUAAAGGGCGUGUAGGCGGGACAGCAAGUCAGAUGUGAAAACCAGAGGCUCAACCUCUGGCCUGCAUUUGAAACUGUUGUUCUUGAGUGUCGGAGAGGUAAUCGGAAUUCCGUGUGUAGCGGUGAAAUGCGUAGAUAUACGGAGGAACACCAGUGGCGAAGGCGGAUUACUGGACGAUAACUGACGCUGAGGCGCGAAAGCGUGGGGAGCAAACAGGAUUAGAAACCCGGGUAGUCC
RNAcentral lists this ribosomal RNA (428 nucleotides) under uncultured bacterium. RNAcentral describes it as "partial 16S ribosomal RNA". It matches the Rfam family "Bacterial small subunit ribosomal RNA", at positions 354 to 796 of the family's 1533-position model. The record is from RNAcentral.